This is a non-coding RNA of Pelobates cultripes (western spadefoot toad), 345 nucleotides long. The record is from the annotation of a GenBank genome assembly. Lineage: Eukaryota; Metazoa; Chordata; Amphibia; Anura; Pelobatidae.
UGCAGUGGCGGAUCCAGAGCCUGAUCUCGGGAGGGGCACUUGUAGAUUAUUUAAAGAAAUAAUCCAGACACAAUAACCACUACAGCUCAGUGUAGCGGUUAUGGUGUCAAUAGUGCCGGGACCCCCUCCCACAGUAAGUAGUCAAACCGUUUAAGAACAGUUUGACAACUUACCUGAGAUCUGCUAGGAAAUGGGGCUGUAGUAAGGUAUAGGAGCAGUGGUGUGUGUGAGUGGUGCAAUGUGUAAGGGGUGCAGUGUGUGUGUGUGUGAAGGUUGUAGUGUGUGAGUGAGGGCGGCAGUGUAUGUCAGGGAUGCAGUGUAUGUGUGUAACAGUUGCAGUGUGUG